RNAcentral lists this ribosomal RNA (403 nucleotides) under uncultured bacterium. RNAcentral's name for it is "partial 16S ribosomal RNA". It matches the Rfam family "Bacterial small subunit ribosomal RNA", at positions 28 to 526 of the family's 1533-position model. The record is from RNAcentral.
GACGAACGCUGGCGGCGUGCCUAAUACAUGCAAGUCGAACGCAGUUGGGACGGGUGAGUAACACGUGGGUAACCUCCCAUCAGAGGGGAUAACACUUGGAAACAGGUGCUAAACCGCUACUGCUGGCUGGACCCGCGUUGCAUUAGCUAGUUGGUGAGGUAACGGGUCACCAAGGCCACGAGGCAUAGCCGGCCGUAGAGGGUGGUCGGCCACACUGGGACUGAGACACGGCCCAGAGUACAACGGGAGGCAGCAGGAGGGAAUCUUCGGCAAUGGACGAAAGUCUGACCGAGCAACGCCGCGUGAGUGAAGAAGGUUUUCGGAUCGUAAAACUCUGUUGUUAGAGAAGCGGUAGGUAACCAGAAAGCCACGGCUAACUGCGUGCCAGCAGCCGCGGUAAUAC